AUGGUGUGCGAUGGUGUGCUCACCGACGCUCAGGUAGGUGGCCAGCGUAGGCGUGAUGAAUCUCCGACCAGGUCUGCCCAGUCGACGGGAAGAGUAAAUCCGCAGGCCCCGGCUGGACUAAAAGCUGAGGCUCCGACGACGACCAUCUGUAUCUUCUGUUACUGCCGUUACAAGCUUCGUCUCGGGAGUGCGCCAUCGGACCGUGUGCCCUGUCCAUCAAGGAUGAGCGCCCUGGAGCUAUCAAUGUGUGAAUACGCUGAGCAACCUGACAAGAGUGUGGUCCGACCUGAGCUAGGUCUUAGUUUUGAUUCACUGGGCGAGGCGUAUGAUUUCUACAACUUGUAUUCUUGGGAAAUUGGUUUUGGGAUAAGAUAUGGAAAAGGCAGGCUGAAAGCUGAGAGAACCAAAAGCAUGCAGGAGAUAGUUUGUGGUUGUUCGGGGAAGCCAGACGAAACAGCAGGUCGUGCAGAUGCGAGUGCCCGGCUUUGA
RNAcentral lists this ribosomal RNA (489 nucleotides) under Triticum aestivum (bread wheat). RNAcentral's name for it is "partial small subunit ribosomal RNA". Lineage: Eukaryota; Viridiplantae; Streptophyta; Magnoliopsida; Poales; Poaceae. The record is from RNAcentral.